This 1206-nucleotide long non-coding RNA is filed under the name Homo sapiens (human). RNAcentral's name for it is "HSALNT0303313". Lineage: Eukaryota; Metazoa; Chordata; Mammalia; Primates; Hominidae. The record is from RNAcentral.
CAAUGGAUGCUAUGCUUAAAUAAGUUUAUAACACCCUCUUCCCCCUCAAAGAUUCAGAAGUCAGGGCAACCACAUCAUAUUGGGAGUCUAAUUUGUAAGUCGAUAAGAUAAAAAUCCCUUUGGUCAAAAUUAUCCUUGAAAAUCACCAGAAAUUGUAUAUAAGGUCCCCCAAUUUAUAGCUUUAUGUGUACACCCUGGUCACUAAGGUGUGAGUGUAGUUAUAAAUUACUGUUAAUGAUGAGACUAAGAAUACGGACCACUAGGAUUGCUAUUUUCUUUCCCUGGCAUCCUCAUUUAAAUUGUUAUUUUUAUUUUUCAUCUAGUGUAUAGUUUGAUUCAUAGAAUUUAAAUGCAUAUAUUAAAUUAAAAGUAGUAAUUAUUAUAGUACUAAUAAUAGUAAUAAUCAUUGACAUUUAUUGGGGGCUAGCUAUUGCCUGCCAGACUGCUCUAAGUGCUUUAUUUGCAUGAACUGAGUUAAUCUGAACAGAAACUUCAGGGCUGGACACUAUAUUCCCUUUUUACAACAAAGUCACUUGCUUCUGCUUUUACUCGUGCCUUUGGCGACACAAUGACUCUGCAAAUUGUCCUGUGCCCAGAGGAAACAUUUUUCUGAAAACUUCUGCGCUGGGGCAGAUUUAGGGCAAAGUUAACACUUCAAAAAUAUCUCCAGUAAUUGAGUAAAUUGCUCAUCUGUCAAAUUGGCUCUUUGGCAAAUUACUCUGCUUGCACAUAUUAAUAGCCAAGCUUAGCCAACUUGAAAUAUGGAGAUUUACUGGAAAUCACAGUGAAGUGAAGAGAGAGGCAAGAGCAGAAUUGAAAUUCCCACCUGGCAGCAAAAGAGAGUUAUGCAGAGCCUAUCAGGACCCGUGUUCACACCAGCACUUAGUUUGGAGGAAGCACCUGGAGGAGAUGCAGAGUCCAGAUGUGCGCCCUCUGCCGGAAGCCUACUGCACCAGGACGUAGGCCUGGAGUGGCCCUUAACGCAUUUGGAAAUCAGUCUUCACUAAAAAAACUUCCUCCAAAAUGUUCUUUAACAGCCCUUUAAAAGCCAUUGUUUCAAAACAGUCCAAGGUGGUGAACAAUUAAUAUUUUCGAUUUACAUGAAGACUCUGGAGUAGGAAUUACCUGAGUUGGAAACUCAGUUCUACUCUAUUGGUAUCAGGUUGCAUUCUGUAUCAUCAUUAAAAUUUUCAGAAAAACUCUCAA